RNAcentral lists this ribosomal RNA (440 nucleotides) under uncultured bacterium. RNAcentral's name for it is "partial 16S ribosomal RNA". It matches the Rfam family "Bacterial small subunit ribosomal RNA", at positions 338 to 795 of the family's 1533-position model. The record is from RNAcentral.
CCUACGGGUGGCAGCAGUGGGGAAUAUUGCACAAUGGGGGAAACACUGAUGCAGCGACGCCGCGUGAAGGAAGAAGUAUUUCGGUAUGUAAACUUCUAUCAGCAGGGAAGAAAAUGACGGUACGUGACUAUGAAGACCCGGCUAACUACGUGCUAGCAGCCGCGGGAAUACGUAGGGGGCAAGCGUUAUCCGGAUUUACUGGGUGUAAAGGGAACGUAGGCGGUUGAGAAAGACAGAAGUGAAAGCCCGGGUCUCAACUCCGGGACUGCUUUUGAAACUGUUGAACUAGAUUGCAGGAGAGGUAAGGAGAAUUCCUAGUGUAGCGGUGAAAUGCGUAGAUAUUAGGAGGAACACCAGUAGCGAAGGCGGCUAACUGGACUGUAAAUGACGCUGAGGCUCGAAAGCGUGGGGAGCAAACAGGAUUAGAUACCCCAGUAGUC